AUUCUACCCAUGCGGGGAAGGAUGAGAAGCUUCGACUAAGGUUCGAUUCGAGCGCAGCGAGAAAGCGUUGCCGCAGGCAACGACCCGAAG
Molecule: small RNA, 90 nt
Filed under: Salmonella enterica
Lineage: Bacteria; Pseudomonadati; Pseudomonadota; Gammaproteobacteria; Enterobacterales; Enterobacteriaceae
Also listed under: 1 other name
Description: partial RtT sRNA
Rfam family: RtT RNA
About the family: This family represents a bacterial cis-regulatory element known as RtT RNA. The exact function of RtT is unknown although it is thought that it may be involved in changing the cellular response in relation to amino acid starvation.
Source: RNAcentral